CAGCCGUAAACUGUGCGCGUUAGGUGUAUCGGUGACCACGAGUUACCGAGGUGCCGAAGGGAAACCGUGAAACGUGCCGCCUGGGAAGUACGGUCGCAAGGCUGAAACUUAAAGGAAUUGGCGGGGGAGCACCACAACAGGUGGAGCCUGCGGUUUAAUUGGACUCAACGCCGGGAAGCUCACCGGAUAGGAUAGCAGAAUGAUUGCCGGGCUGAAGACCCGCAUGACUAGCUGAGAGGAGGUGCAUGGCGUAGACGUCU
RNAcentral lists this ribosomal RNA (260 nucleotides) under uncultured archaeon. Its description in RNAcentral is "partial 16S ribosomal RNA". It matches the Rfam family "Archaeal small subunit ribosomal RNA", at positions 748 to 1009 of the family's 1478-position model. The record is from RNAcentral.